This 242-nucleotide long non-coding RNA is filed under the name Parus major (Great Tit). RNAcentral's name for it is "lncRNA (ENSPMJG00000016371.1)". Lineage: Eukaryota; Metazoa; Chordata; Aves; Passeriformes; Paridae. The record is from RNAcentral.
UGGUGUCCUGCAUCAUGAAGUGGUUGUUAAAUUUUGUGUGAUGAUCCGCCCAGACUAGAAGAACAGCCAGCUCCCACCAGCUCUCCUUUUUCCACUGUUUGACGCAAGUUACAAAGUCUGUUAUGGGACUUGGCUAUUCUUGGGAAAUUCCUUCCUGAUGGGAAGAACUUCAGCAGAAUUCCUCAUGAUGUCCAAAAAGGCGCUCCUACAUCUUCAAACUCCAAUCUAAACUUCACACACUU